ACGCUCGACACCUACGGGAGGCAGCAGUGGGGAAUAUUGCACAAUGGGGGAAACCCUGAUGCAGCGACGCCGCGUGAGUGAAGAAGUAUUUCGGUAUGUAAAGCUCUAUCAGCAGGGAANAAAAUGACGGUACCUGACUAAGAAGCCCCGGCUAACUACGUGCCAGAAGCCGCGGUAAUCUGAGCGGGCUGGCAAGGC
RNAcentral lists this ribosomal RNA (198 nucleotides) under uncultured bacterium. RNAcentral's name for it is "partial 16S ribosomal RNA". It matches the Rfam family "Bacterial small subunit ribosomal RNA", at positions 328 to 539 of the family's 1533-position model. The record is from RNAcentral.